GAUGAACGCUGGCGGCGUGCCUAAUACAUGCAAGUCGAGCGAACAGACGAGGAGCUUGCUCCUCUGUCGUUAGCGGCGGACGGGUGAGUAACACGUGGAUAACCUACCUAUAAGACUGGGAUAACUUCGGGAAACCGGAGCUAAUACCGGAUAAUAUAUUGAACCGCAUGGUUCAAUAGUGAAAGACGGUUUUGCUGUCACUUAUAGAUGGAUCCGCGCCGCAUUAGCUAGUUGGUAAGGUAACGGCUUACCAAGGCAACGAUGCGUAGCCGACCGGAGAGGGUGAUCGGCCACACUGGAGCUGAGACACGGUCCAGAGUCCUACGGGAGGCAGCAGUAGGGAAUCUUCCGCAAUGGGCGAAAGCCUGACGGAGCAACGCCGCGUGAGUGAUGAAGGUCUUCGGAUCGUAAAACUCUGUUAUUAGGGAAGAACAAAUGUGUAAGUAACUAUGCACGUCUUGACGGUACCUAAUCAGAAAGCCACGGCUAACUACGUG
This 497-nucleotide ribosomal RNA is filed under the name uncultured bacterium. Its description in RNAcentral is "partial 16S ribosomal RNA". It matches the Rfam family "Bacterial small subunit ribosomal RNA", at positions 28 to 507 of the family's 1533-position model. The record is from RNAcentral.